AUGGCCUCCAGAAUGAAUCUCUCUGAAGAACAUGACACACAGAUAAAGACAGUCAAGAGUCUGUGUCAGAAUGAAUCUCCUGAACCCAGCUGUGUGUCCAUCAAGAGUGACCGGUCAAUGGGUCAACCAAUUCAUUUCAGCUCUGGAGACACAUCUGCUGAUCUGAGGUGCUGUGUAGUUUACAGUAUGAGAAAUAUGAUAUUCAUUAUAUUCUUUAAUUUACUGAUGUGUAUGCAUUACUACAUGUUUACAAAAAUAUUAAAUAUUUGUUUAACUACAGUCAAAAACAUAAAGGACGAGAAUCACAUACAGCAAAGAAGAAAUUAGACUCCAUUUUCAAGGUUGGUUUUGUGUGUGUGUGUGUCUGUGUGUGUGGUGUGUGUCCAUCCAACACAAUGACCCUCUGGGUAAAAGUACUAAAUGUUAA
This 427-nucleotide long non-coding RNA is filed under the name Carassius auratus (goldfish). RNAcentral's name for it is "lncRNA (ENSCARG00000051766.1)". The record is from RNAcentral. Lineage: Eukaryota; Metazoa; Chordata; Actinopteri; Cypriniformes; Cyprinidae.